AAAAAUAUGUAAAGCUGAGCAAAUCAUUCCAAGUCUCAACUGCUCUUGAUCAUUUCAAUUCCAAGAAUCAUCCAAAACUUCAACUCCAAGAUGUACAAGUUGGUCGUCCUCCUUGCCUUCGUCGCCAUUAUCGGCAUGGCUUUCGCCAACCCAAUGCCAGACCCUGACCCAGCUGUUAUCUACCCAGGUUACGCUUCAUACGGAUACGCCGCACCGGUCGUCUCAUCUUAUGGUGGCUACUACCCAGCCUACUCUGGCGCUUAUCUUCUUAAAAAGUAGAUAUGAUUUAAAUCCUAUCUCCACACCCACCACUCUUCAAAACUGGAUUCUAACAUUGGUCUAAAAUUACUUAUCGUCAACUUUCAAUUCGAUUCUGAAUCUUGACAUUUGUCGUUGUUGCAAAGUCUAAUAAAAUUGUGAUACUUUCGCACAUA
Molecule: long non-coding RNA, 434 nt
Organism: Folsomia candida
Lineage: Eukaryota; Metazoa; Arthropoda; Collembola; Entomobryomorpha; Isotomidae
Exons: 4
Source: RefSeq, a predicted model, not a curated record